Molecule: ribosomal RNA, 252 nt
Filed under: Triticum aestivum (bread wheat)
Lineage: Eukaryota; Viridiplantae; Streptophyta; Magnoliopsida; Poales; Poaceae
Description: partial small subunit ribosomal RNA
Source: RNAcentral
AUGGAGGUCUCAGCCAGGCUCCGCCCGCCGUCUCCCGCCUCGACGGCGCUGCCCCGCCACGGCGGAGGGUCCCUGCGGCGGCUGCUCCCUUCGGCCCGGCCCGCCUCCCGAGCGGUCUCCGCCAAGAUGCUUCCCUCCUCCCCUAUCUUGUGGGUUGCGGGGCGCAGGGGGGGAUUAAUCGGUUGGAUCGAGCUCGAAAUGCGGCGGCGGCGCGGCGGGCGGGGAUCGGGCGGCGAUUUGGUCAGAGUUUGA